UGGGGAAUAUUGGACAAUGGGCGCAAGCCUGAUCCAGCAAUGCCGCGUGUGUGAAGAAGGCCUGCGGGUUGUAAAGCACUUUCAGUGGGGAGAAAGAAGCUAUCACUAAUACUGAUGGCGGAUGAUGUUACCCACAGAAGAAGCACCGGCUAAUUCUGUGCCAGCAGCCGCGGUAAUACAGAAGGUGCGAGCGUUAAUCGGAAUUACUGGGCGUAAAGGGUGCGUAGGUGGUUUUGUAAGUUAGGUGUGAAAGUCCCGGGCUUAACCUGGGGAUUGCGCCUGAUACUGCAAAGCUAGAGUACUGUAGAGGAAAGUGGAAUUUCCAGUGUAGCGGUGAAAUGCGUAGAUAUUGGAAGGAACAUCAGUGGCGAAGGCGACUUUCUGGACAGAUACUGACACUGAGGCACGAAAGCGUGGGGAGCAAACAGGAUUAGAUACCCCCGUAGUCC
Molecule: ribosomal RNA, 449 nt
Filed under: uncultured bacterium
Lineage: Bacteria
Description: bacterial SSU rRNA
Rfam family: Bacterial small subunit ribosomal RNA
Source: RNAcentral